RNAcentral lists this ribosomal RNA (429 nucleotides) under Bacteroidota bacterium. RNAcentral describes it as "Bacteroidetes bacterium partial 16S ribosomal RNA". It matches the Rfam family "Bacterial small subunit ribosomal RNA", at positions 355 to 776 of the family's 1533-position model. Lineage: Bacteria; Pseudomonadati; Bacteroidota. The record is from RNAcentral.
UAGGGAAUCUUCCGCAAUGGACGCAAGUCUGACGGAGCAACGCCGCGUGAGUGAAGAAGGAUUUCGGUUCGUAAAACUCUGUUGUUAGAGAAGAACAGCGCAUAGAGUAACUGUUAUGCGUGUGACGGUAUCUAACCAGAAAGCCACGGCUAACUACGUGCCAGCAGCCGCGGUAAUACGUAGGUGGCAAGCGUUGUCCGGAUUUAUUGGGCGUAAAGCGAGCGCAGGCGGUCAAUUAAGUCUGAUGUGAAAGCCCCCGGCUCAACCGGGGAGGGUCAUUGGAAACUGGUGGACUUGAGUGCAGAAGAGGGAAGUGGAAUUCCAUGUGUAGCGGUGAAAUGCGUAGAUAUAUGGAGGAACACCAGUGGCGAAGGCGACUCUCUGGUCUGUAACUGACGCUGAGGCUCGAAAGCGUGGGUAGCAAACAGG